This 516-nucleotide ribosomal RNA is filed under the name uncultured bacterium. RNAcentral describes it as "bacterial SSU rRNA". It matches the Rfam family "Bacterial small subunit ribosomal RNA", at positions 29 to 518 of the family's 1533-position model. The record is from RNAcentral.
AACGAACGCUGGCGGCGUGCCUAACACAUGCAAGUCGAGCGAGAAAGUCCCUUCGGGGGCAAGUAGAGCGGCGGACGGGUGAGUAAUACGUGGAUAAUCUCCCCUUAGCCUGGGAUAACCCUGCGAAAGUGGGGCUAAUACCGGAUAAGACCACAUAGCAUAUGUUACGUGGUAGAAGGUGGCUUAUAUUUAUAUGAGCUAUCACUUGAGGAUGAGUCCAUGGCCUAUCAGCUUGUUGGUGAGGUAAGAGCUCACCAAGGCUAUGACGGGUAGCUGGUCUGAGAGGACGACCAGCCACACUGGGACUGAGACACAGCCCAGACUCCUACGGGAGGCAGCAGUGGGGAAUAUUGGGCAAUGGGCGAAAGCCUGACCCAGCGACGCCGCGUGGGUGAAUGAAGGCCUUCGGGUUAGUAAAGCCCUUUCGUGCGGAAAGAACAGUCUCAUAGCUAAUACCUACGAGUAUUUGACGGUACCGCAGGAAGAAGCACCGGCUAACUCCGUGCCAGCCGCGGC